UCAAUGAAGAGUUUGAUCCUGGCUCAGGACGAACGCUGGCGGCGUGCCUAAUGCAUGCAAGUCGCACGGAGUGCUUCGGCACUCAGUGGCGCACGGCUGAGUAACACGUGGGAAUCUGCCCAUCGGUGGGGGAUAACGGCGCGAAAGCGCGGCUAAUCCCGCAUACGCUCGCAAGAGGAAAGCGGUAACGCGUCGAUGGAUGAGCCUGCGGCCCAUCAGGUAGUUGGUCGGGUAAUGGCCUACCAAGCCGAUGACGGGUAGCUGGUCUGUGAGGACAGACAGCCAGACUGGGACUGAGAAACGGCCCAGACUCCUACGGGAGGCAGCAGCAAGGAAUUUUCGUCAAUGGGCGCAAGCCUGAACGAGCAACGCCGCGUGGAGGAUGAAGGCCUUCGGGUUGUAAACUCCUUUUGAGGGGAACGAUACUGACGGUACCCUUCGAAUAAGCCCCGGCUAACUCUGUGCCAGCAGCCGCGGUAAGACAGAGGGGGCAAGCGUUGUCCGGAGUUACUGGGCGUAAAGCGCACGCAGGCGGUGCGGGAAGUGGUGUGUGAAAGCGUGCGGCUCAACUGCACGAGGCCAUGCCAAACUCCCACACUCGAGUCCGGGAGAGGUCCGUCGAAUUGCCGGUGUAGUGGUGAAAUGCGUAGAGAUCGGCAGGAAGACCAAAGGUGAAGACAGCGGACCGGCCCGGUACUGACGCUCAGGUGCGAAGGCGUGGGGAGCAAACCGGAUUAGAUACCCGGGUAGUCCACGCGGUAAACGAUGACGACUCGGCAUAUAGGGGCGUCCCGCCCCCGUGUGCCCUAGCCAACGCGAUAAGUCGUCCGCCUGGGAAGUACGAGCGCAAGCUUAAAACUCAAAGGAAUUGACGGGGGCCCGCACAAGCAGCGGAGCGUGUGGUUUAAUUCGAUGCAACACGCAGAACCUCACCCAGAUUUGACAUGCUGGUGCAUCCCGUGGAGACACGGUGGCCUUCGAGGGUCCAGCACAGAUGCUGCAUGGCUGUCGUCAGCUCGUGUCGUGAGAUGUUGGGUUAAGUCCCGCAACGAGCGCAACCCCCGCGACUAGUUACUGGUGUCUAGUCGGACGGUCCUUCGGGAAGGAAGGCGGGGAUGACGUCAAGUCCGCAUGGCUCUUACGUCUGGGGCUACACACACGCUACAAUGGCGCCGACAAUGCGUCGCGACCCGGCAACGGGAAGCCAAUCGCCAAACGGCGCCCCAGUUCAGAUCGGGGGCUGCAACUCGCCCCCGUGAAGGUGGAGUUGCUAGUAACCGCGUAUCAGCUAUGGCGCGGUGAAUACGUACCCGGGCCUUGUACACACCGCCCGUCACGUCAUGGGAGUUGUCAAUGCCUGAAGUCCGUGCGCCAACCCUCGGGAGGCAGCGGCCGAAGGCAGGGGCAGCGACUGGGACGAAGUCGUAACAAGGUAGCCGUACCGGAAGGUGCGGCUGGAUCACCUCCUUU
RNAcentral lists this ribosomal RNA (1470 nucleotides) under Chloroflexota bacterium. RNAcentral describes it as "bacterial SSU rRNA". It matches the Rfam family "Bacterial small subunit ribosomal RNA". The record is from RNAcentral. Lineage: Bacteria; Bacillati; Chloroflexota.